Non-coding RNA from Callorhinus ursinus (northern fur seal), 754 nucleotides. Lineage: Eukaryota; Metazoa; Chordata; Mammalia; Carnivora; Otariidae. The record is from RefSeq and is a predicted model, not a curated record.
UGACAGAAACAGAUCUACGUGGACCGUCCCUUUUUGCUCUCCUGCAUGAUAUCCUGGGUACUAUUGUGAUCGUGCUGAUGAUCCUCGGAGCUGGACUGUACCUUUGGAAGAGACGUGGGAAGAAGAAGAGUUUGGAAUCUGUGAAAGGCAGGCUGUGUUUCUCCUUCCUGUGCCCAGAAACCUCCCUCCCCUGUUCAACCCCGGACACCCGUUCUCCUGCAUUUUGCUGCUCAGAGAAUAUCCCUGCAGGAGGCUGGCUGGUGUGGCCAUGGCCAUGGAGUCAUGGAGUGGGGGAAGGUCCAGGUUUCCAGGCUUAGAAUCAAGCUCCAUCUGUGUAUGACGCAGGUGCAGGAUCACAGAAGGGGCACGUGGACCCAGAUGGUGGCAUCCACUAUGCAGAUCAGACCCAUCAGGAGUCUGGAAACCACAGGGGCAAGGGUAGGGGUGCACCUCAUCUAGAAGAGGAGAAGCUUCUCACUACUGUCUACAGUGAGGUCCACAAACCAGGCCAGGCUGUAAGGAGGAUUUAAUGGGAAGAAGCAGGAGAAUCCCGCCCUCCGGGGACACCUGCUUGUGAGCCUGAUGCCCACAGCUCAGGUCCUGCCUCCUCCCCCUCUCACUGCUCUGAGCAGGGACUGUGUGGAUCCAACCAUCAGUUAUUUCUAUGCUAAAUCGUUCUGCAUAAUUUCGCCAUGAGACACACACAGUGGUAGAUCAGGGGGAAACUGAGUAAAUAAAUUGGUACAAACCUGUU